RNAcentral lists this ribosomal RNA (623 nucleotides) under uncultured Roseovarius sp. RNAcentral describes it as "bacterial SSU rRNA". It matches the Rfam family "Bacterial small subunit ribosomal RNA", at positions 1 to 667 of the family's 1533-position model. Lineage: Bacteria; Pseudomonadati; Pseudomonadota; Alphaproteobacteria; Rhodobacterales; Roseobacteraceae. The record is from RNAcentral.
GAAUUCGCCCUUAGAGUUUGAUCCUGGCUCAGAACGAACGCUGGCGGCAGGCCUAACACAUGCAAGUCGAACGAAGCCUUCGGGCUUAGUGGCGGACGGGUUAGUAACGCGUGGGAACGUGCCUUUCACUACGGAAUAGUCCCGGGAAACUGGGUUUAAUACCGUAUACGCCCUUCGGGGGAAAGAAUUUCGGUGAAAGAUCGGCCCGCGUUAGAUUAGGUAGUUGGUGGGGUAAUGGCCUACCAAGCCUACGAUCUAUAGCUGGUUUUAGAGGAUGAUCAGCAACACUGGGACUGAGACACGGCCCAGACUCCUACGGGAGGCAGCAGUGGGGAAUCUUGGACAAUGGGCGCAAGCCUGAUCCAGCCAUGCCGCGUGAGUGAUGAAGGCCUUAGGGUCGUAAAGCUCUUUCGCCAGGGAUGAUAAUGACAGUACCUGGUAAAGAAACCCCGGCUAACUCCGUGCCAGCAGCCGCGGUAAUACGGAGGGGGUUAGCGUUGUUCGGAAUUACUGGGCGUAAAGCGCGCGUAGCGGAUUGGAAAGUUGGGGGUGAAAUCCCGGGGCUCAACCCCGGAACGGCCUCCAAAACUCCCAGUCUUGAGUUCGAGAGAGGUGAGUGGAUU